RNAcentral lists this ribosomal RNA (460 nucleotides) under uncultured bacterium. RNAcentral describes it as "partial 16S ribosomal RNA". It matches the Rfam family "Bacterial small subunit ribosomal RNA", at positions 338 to 795 of the family's 1533-position model. The record is from RNAcentral.
CCUACGGGAGGCAGCAGUGAGGAAUAUUGGUCAAUGGACGAGAGUCUGAACCAGCCAAGUAGCGUGAAAGAUGACUGCCCUAUGGGUUGUAAACUUCUUUUAUAUGGGAAUAAAACGUUCCACGUGUGGGAUUUUGUAUGUACCAUAUGAAUAAGGAUCGGCUAACUCCGUGCCAGCAGCCGCGGUAAUACGGAGGAUCCGAGCGUUAUCCGGAUUUAUUGGGUUUAAAGGGAGCGUAGGUGGAUUGUUAAGUCAGUUGUGAAAGUUUGCGGCUCAACCGUAAAAUUGCAGUUGAAACUGGCAGUCUUGAGUACAGUAGAGGUGGGCGGAAUUCGUGGUGUAGCGGUGAAAUGCUUAGAUAUCACGAAGAACUCCGAUUGCGAAGGCAGUUCACUGGACUGCAACUGACACUGAGGCUCGAAAGUGUGGGUAUCAAACAGGAUUAGAUACCCCAGUAGUC